Molecule: long non-coding RNA, 1077 nt
Organism: Scophthalmus maximus (turbot)
Lineage: Eukaryota; Metazoa; Chordata; Actinopteri; Pleuronectiformes; Scophthalmidae
Exons: 4
Source: RefSeq, a predicted model, not a curated record
CUUCCUUGUUCAGCUGUGUUGUGUUUUAUGACGACUGGUUUGUUGACUUUGCGGUGGGACACGGAGACUGUGCAACUCGCAGGACCAUCACUGCGUUUGAUGUGGAGGAAACGUUACCCCAUCACCAGUAUCACCUGCUCAGUUUGUCACGCACAGCCACUGUCCCCUGGAUUACCCUCACAGGACACUCUGCCACAUGCCCUGGACACUGGAUUUCCCUGGCUCCCCAUUGACACAGGCCCCUGCACAUAAGUUUGGUGGUUUGGGUCUGUUGUUGGGCGGCUGUGGCUCAGGAGAUGGAGCGGCUCGUCCACUAACCAGAGGGUCAAUGGUUUGAUCCUGGUGUCCUACAGUCCUUGGGCAGGGACUUGACCCUAAAUUGCCCCUGAUGGCUCUGCCAGCAGUGUACAAAUGAUGUGAUAGAAAAAGGUCUUUUAAAACUGUUGCAUCAGCUGUCUCCUUCCUCCGUGAAGCCAUGUCCCCUGAUCAACCUCAGUUUGCUCUGGCUGUAAGUGAUGCUGAGCAGGCCAUCCAUGACCGUUAAAGAUUGGCAUCUGGGCUGGAUAUAAGAGCAUUUUUCAUUCACUCUCCUCUCUGUGGCGGAAGCACUCUAGGUUGUUCACCUGACCAUUUCUCUUUUUCUUUUGUAUGUGUGCACAUCUGGCUCUUUCAAAAUCUAUUUAAAUGUCAAAUAUGCAGUUCAGUGUGACCAUCAUCGUCAACAUAUUUAACCAAGAAGAAAUUAAAUAUAUUUCAAAAGAUAAUUAAAUAUAAAGGUCAUCAUGCUCCAGAAGAAGCACAAUGUGUAAACCUACUCUUUUGAAAAGAUGACCAUAAUAUAAUGUAAUCCUCAGAAAAAUAGAUACUGAUAGAUAUACUGUAUAUUCAUGCAUUUAAAACUCAGUCCUGUAGAUAUACAGAUAUACAUUCGUGAGUGUCUCAUUAAUAUAAUUCCAGUGGCAAACACACAAAGUAACAAACUCUGUAGAAUAAGAUACAGCAUAAUAUUUUGCGUUGUGCUUGUCUUCUCAAUUAAUGCCAUCGCUAUCAUGAUGAAAUAAAGAUUCAUUGCAUAUA